RNAcentral lists this ribosomal RNA (217 nucleotides) under uncultured bacterium. RNAcentral describes it as "partial 16S ribosomal RNA". It matches the Rfam family "Bacterial small subunit ribosomal RNA", at positions 1276 to 1500 of the family's 1533-position model. The record is from RNAcentral.
CGAAAGCCUGUCUCAGUUCGGAUUGGAGUCUGCAACCCGACUCCAUGAAGCUGGAUUCGCUAGUAAUCGCGCAUCAGCCACGGCGCGGUGAAUACGUUCCCGGGCCUUGUACACACCGCCCGUCAAGCCAUGGAAGCCGGGGGUGCCUGAAGUGCGCUGCCGCAAGGAGCGCCCUAGGGUAAAACCGGUGACUGGGGCUAAGUCGUAACAAGGUAUC